AGCUCAUCUCUUAGCUCGUCGUCCGUCGUCUGUUAAGUCUCAGGCCAACCGCUGCUCCCGGCUCCUCGCCAAGUGUAGGCGCCUCGCAACCCUCAACUACUCAGUUCUCGGGACCCGAAAGUCAAAGGUCGGUGCUUAUUGGCCAGUGACCACUUCUCAUCGCUUCUUAAGUAUUAACUUCAUCUAGAAAUCCUUAUAUAUGUUAUUUUCAAUUUCAAAUACGAGAUGAGUAUUAAAUAUUGAGGGGUGUGCUUGUAAGUUGUAAUUGUCAUACCCUGUAAAUAU
This 285-nucleotide unclassified non-coding RNA is filed under the name Hevea brasiliensis (rubber tree). The record is from RNAcentral. Lineage: Eukaryota; Viridiplantae; Streptophyta; Magnoliopsida; Malpighiales; Euphorbiaceae.